Raphanus sativus (radish) is the source of this 380-nucleotide long non-coding RNA. RefSeq lists it as uncharacterized. NCBI's taxonomy places the organism in Eukaryota, Viridiplantae, Streptophyta, Magnoliopsida, Brassicales, Brassicaceae. The transcript is spliced from 2 exons. The record is from RefSeq and is a predicted model, not a curated record.
CAUACAGUAACCAUAAAUAUAUAUUCCUGUUUCUUAUAAAGAAUAUAUUAGUUAAAGAUUAAAAAAUAAGGUCACGAGACUCACAUAGUCACAAGUUCACAAUCUUUGACAUCAGCCUCCCACCACAUGUACCCCAUAUUUAUAUUUACAUGUAUAUUCUCCUCCAUUUUCAUCAUCUCUAAUAUCUCCAAGUCACACCUCCAAGAGAAGUCAGAUUCUGGUGAGGAUGAGAUUUGGGAAGAUUGUGGAAGGCUUGAAGUCCAAGAUAAAGGCAAGUCUAAGGAUGCGGAAGAGAUCCUCAUUGUCAUCAUCGUCAUCGUCGUCAUCAUCAUCAUCAUCAUCAUCAUCAUCAUCGUAUGAGAAGAUAGAGAAGACUGACA